This 372-nucleotide ribosomal RNA is filed under the name uncultured organism. RNAcentral's name for it is "bacterial SSU rRNA". It matches the Rfam family "Bacterial small subunit ribosomal RNA", at positions 526 to 896 of the family's 1533-position model. The record is from RNAcentral.
CAGAGGUCUCAAGCGUUGUUCGGAAUCACUGGGCGUAAAGGGUGUGUAGGCGGUGUGCUAAGUCAGAUGUGAAAGCCCGGGGCUCAACCUCGGAACUGCAUCCGAUACUGGCAUGCUAGAGAAUUGGAGAGGAGUCUAGAAUUCACGGUGUAGCAGUGAAAUGCGUAGAUAUCGUGAGGAAUACCAAGUGCGAAGGCAGGACUCUGGACAUUUUCUGACGCUGAGACACGAAGGCCAGGGGAGCAAACGGGAUUAGAUACCCCGGUAGUCCUGGCAGUAAACGGUGCACGUUUGGUGUGGGGAGGUUCGACCCUUCCUGUGCCGGAGCUAACGCGUUAAACGUGCCGCCUGGGAAGUACGGUCGCAAGACUA